GAUUGAAAAACAAGUGAAACUGCGAGCUACUGCUCACUGAUGAUACCCCCGCCGCAAGUGGAUAAUAUUAAUAGUGUAAAAAUAUGCAAGUGUUCGGUAAACAGGAAGUUGUCGAGUGAUGAAUCUGAAAACGCAUCACACGGUAUAGCUGACUUAUAUAAAUCCUGAAACCAAAUUUCAGAAAUCCUUGUAUUGUAGUUCCUGAGAAAAAUGCGACGAAAAUUUUCAACUUGGCUAUCAUGUGUAAAAUCAUACAAGUGUUCGGUAAACAGGAAGUUGUCGAGUGAUCAAUCUGAAAACGCAUCACACGGUAUAGCUGACUUAG
This 325-nucleotide long non-coding RNA is filed under the name Mytilus galloprovincialis (Mediterranean mussel). The record is from RNAcentral. Lineage: Eukaryota; Metazoa; Mollusca; Bivalvia; Mytilida; Mytilidae.